GACGAACGCUGGCGGCGUGCUUAACACAUGCAAGUCGAACGGAAAGGCCCUGCUUGCCGGGUACUCGAGUGGCGAACGGGUGAGUAACACGUGGGUGAUCUGCCCUGCACUUCGGGAUAAGCCUGGGAAACUGGGUCUAAUACCGGAUAGGAGCCAUUUUUAGUGUGAUGGUUGGAAAGUUUUUUCGGUGUAGGAUGAGCUCGCGGCCUAUCAGCUUGUUGGUGGGGUAAUGGCCUACCAAGGCGGCGACGGGUAGCCGGCCUGAGAGGGUGGACGGCCACAUUGGGGCUGGGAUACGGCCCAGACUCCUACGGGAGGCAGCAGGGGGGAAUAUUGCACAAUGGGCGCAAGCCUGAUGCAGCGACGCCGCGUGGGGGAUGACGGCCUUCGGGUUGUAAACUCCUUUCGCUAGGGACGAAGCUUUUUGUGACGGUACCUAGAUAAGAAGCACCGGCUAACUACGUG
This 465-nucleotide ribosomal RNA is filed under the name uncultured bacterium. Its description in RNAcentral is "partial 16S ribosomal RNA". It matches the Rfam family "Bacterial small subunit ribosomal RNA", at positions 28 to 507 of the family's 1533-position model. The record is from RNAcentral.